Molecule: ribosomal RNA, 353 nt
Filed under: unidentified archaeon
Lineage: Archaea
Description: bacterial SSU rRNA
Rfam family: Archaeal small subunit ribosomal RNA
Source: RNAcentral
UCAGUAACACGUAGUCAACCUAACUCGUGGACGUGGAUACCUCGGGAAACUGAGAAUAAACCACGAUAGAUCAUAGUGCCUGGAAUGGCUUAUGGUCCAAUACAGUUUACUGCCAUGGGAUGGGACUGCGGCCUAUCAGCUUGUUGGUGAGGUAAUGGCCCACCAAGGCGAUUACAGGUACGGGCUCUGAGAGGAGAAGCCCGGAGAUGGGUACUGAGACACGGACCCAGGCCCUAUGGGGCGCAGCAGGCGAGAAACCUUAGCAAUGUGCGAAAGCACGACUGGGUCAGUCCGAGUGAUUCCUGAUAAAGGAGUCUUUUGCUUGUCCUAAAAGCACAGGUGAAUAAGGGGUG